GUGGGGAAUAUUGCACAAUGGGCGAAAGCCUGAUGCAGCAACGCCGCGUGAGGGACGACGGCCUUCGGGUUGUAAACCUCUUUUAGUAGGGAAGAAGCGAAAGUGACGGUACCUGCAGAAAAAGCACCGACUAACUACGUGCCAGCAGCCGCGGUAAUACGUAGGGUGCAAGCGUUAUCCGGAAUUAUUGGGCGUAAAGAGCUCGUAGGCGGUCUGUCGCGUCUGCUGUGAAAACUGGAGGCUCAACCUCCAGCCUGCAGUGGGUACGGGCAGACUAGAGUGCGGUAGGGGAGAUUGGAAUUCCUGGUGUAGCGGUGGAAUGCGCAGAUAUCAGGAGGAACACCGAUGGCGAAGGCAGAUCUCUGGGCCGUAACUGACGCUGAGGAGCGAAAGCGUGGGGAGCGAACAGGAUUAGAUACCCUGGUAGUCC
This 430-nucleotide ribosomal RNA is filed under the name uncultured bacterium. Its description in RNAcentral is "partial 16S ribosomal RNA". It matches the Rfam family "Bacterial small subunit ribosomal RNA", at positions 354 to 796 of the family's 1533-position model. The record is from RNAcentral.